UAUAUUAAGAGUACUUAUUUUUAUUUUCUAAAUAAUCGGAGUUUUUUCAAUCUUAUUUUCUAUAAAUCCAAGUUCUUAACAAUAUAUAAUUUUGAGCCACAAAAAAAAAAUUGAAAUUGAGAAAAAAAUGAGAUCGGUUGUAAUUUGUUUGAUUAUUCUUAGCCUAUUUGUUAGAGGAUCCACAGCUAUGCUUAAGGAUUCCCCUAUGGAUACCAACCAAUAUUGCAAAGUUGGUUGUAUCGUUUCUCGCUGCAAUUUGAACACUAUCAUAGAAAUCGAGAAUGUGACGAAAGUAGAGAGUUGUGCGAAAGAAUGUGCUCAAGUGUGCCUAAAGUACUGAUGCUAAAGAAAAGAAGAUGAAGUAUACUGAGAGGAGAAAAGAAUUUUGCUUUUCAAGAUAUUCUAUAUAUGAAUAAACAAAAAUCAAUAGUAAAAAUAAAAACCAUUGGUUUAAACGCUUAUUCUUUCAUAUUGAAGAAUCUGUUUUGUUUUGUAGUUAAUUAUGGGCACAACAUGUAAAUAACAACACUGUUUCUCUUUUUAUGCUAUAUGAGAAUAAAGUGUUUGGUUAUAUUUUUCCUUA
Molecule: long non-coding RNA, 583 nt
Organism: Cucumis melo (muskmelon)
Lineage: Eukaryota; Viridiplantae; Streptophyta; Magnoliopsida; Cucurbitales; Cucurbitaceae
Exons: 2
Source: RefSeq, a predicted model, not a curated record